This 465-nucleotide ribosomal RNA is filed under the name Vreelandella stevensii. RNAcentral describes it as "partial 16S ribosomal RNA". It matches the Rfam family "Bacterial small subunit ribosomal RNA", at positions 338 to 795 of the family's 1533-position model. The record is from RNAcentral. Lineage: Bacteria; Pseudomonadati; Pseudomonadota; Gammaproteobacteria; Oceanospirillales; Halomonadaceae.
CCUACGGGCGGCUGCAGUGGGGAAUAUUGGACAAUGGGGGGAACCCUGAUCCAGCCAUGCCGCGUGUGUGAAGAAGGCCCUCGGGUUGUAAAGCACUUUCAGUGAGGAAGAACGCCUGGUGGUUAAUACCCAUCAGGAAAGACAUCACUCACAGAAGAAGCACCGGCUAACUCCGUGCCAGCAGCCGCGGUAAUACGGAGGGUGCGAGCGUUAAUCGGAAUUACUGGGCGUAAAGCGCGCGUAGGUGGCUUGAUAAGCCGGUUGUGAAAGCCCCGGGCUCAACCUGGGAACGGCAUCCGGAACUGUCAAGCUAGAGUGCAGGAGAGGAAGGUAGAAUUCCCGGUGUAGCGGUGAAAUGCGUAGAGAUCGGGAGGAAUACCAGUGGCGAAGGCGGCCUUCUGGACUGACACUGACACUGAGGUGCGAAAGCGUGGGUAGCCAACAGGAUUAGAUACCCCGGUAGUC